GAGGCCUGUGGUGUGGGGUGCGCUUGCGCCCCAGAGUUUUUGCCUAGUUUGAGCUUCAUUGUAUGGUCCUGCUUUGCGUCUCCCAACUUCCCAAGCCGCUAUCACAGGAGCAGAACUAUCACAGUGAAGAAGUGGAUCAGAUACAGACAGAAAUACACAAACUUCAGAAGAACUAACUGCAAUCAUGAAGUGAAAUCACAAGAAACAGCAAGGAACCAGUGAGCACUGUGGCCUCACAUGGGAAAAUUUCAUUUGGAAAGAAAAGAGAACUUGGAUUCUUUUUUUGUUGUUGUUCUUUUUCCACUUAUUAAAGGCAAAUAAUAUUGAAAAUA
Molecule: long non-coding RNA, 332 nt
Organism: Grammomys surdaster
Lineage: Eukaryota; Metazoa; Chordata; Mammalia; Rodentia; Muridae
Exons: 2
Source: RefSeq, a predicted model, not a curated record